RNAcentral lists this ribosomal RNA (497 nucleotides) under uncultured bacterium. RNAcentral's name for it is "partial 16S ribosomal RNA". It matches the Rfam family "Bacterial small subunit ribosomal RNA", at positions 28 to 507 of the family's 1533-position model. The record is from RNAcentral.
GAUGAACGCUGGCGGCGUGCCUAAUACAUGCAAGUCGAGCGAACAGACGAGGAGCUUGCUCCUCUGAUGUUAGCGGCGGACGGGUGAGUAACACGUGGAUAACCUACCUAUAAGACUGGGAUAACUUCGGGAAACCGGAGCUAAUACCGGAUAACAUGUUGAACCGCAUGGUUCAACAGUGAAAGACGGUCUUGCUGUCACUUAUAGAUGGAUCCGCGCCGCAUUAGCUAGUUGGUAAGGUAACGGCUUACCAAGGCAACGAUGCGUAGCCGACCUGAGAGGGUGAUCGGCCACACUGGAACUGAGACACGGUCCAGACUCCUACGGGAGGCAGCAGUAGGGAAUCUUCCGCAAUGGGCGAAAGCCUGACGGAGCAACGCCGCGUGAGUGAAGAAGGUCUUCGGAUCGUAAAACUCUGUUAUUAGGGAAGAACAAAUGUGUAAGUAACUAUGCACGUCUUGACGGUACCUAAUCAGAAAACCACGGCUAACUACGUG